Molecule: ribosomal RNA, 257 nt
Filed under: uncultured prokaryote
Description: partial 16S ribosomal RNA
Rfam family: Bacterial small subunit ribosomal RNA
Source: RNAcentral
UACGGAGGAUGCGAGCGUUAUCCGGAUUUAUUGGGUUUAAAGGGUGCGUAGGCGGCUUAGUAAGUCAGCGGUGAAAUUUUGCAGCUUAACUGUAACAGUGCCGUUGAUACUGCCAGGCUAGGAUUUGGUUGCUGUGGGUGGAAUGUGUGGUGUAGCGGUGAAAUGCAUAGAUAUUACACAGAACACCGAUUGCGAAGGCAGCUUACUAAUCCAUCAUUGACGCUGAGGCACGAAAGCGUGGGGAUCAAACAGGAUUA